UAGAAUGCAGAGGGAAUGAGAUUCACCUGUGGGACUGUCCUUUCUCCCUGAAAAACCACACUGACUGCUCCCACAAAGAGCACGCUGUACUCACCUGUGCAGAUGUUUCAGUGUCCACUACUCCUGCCACAACAUCAGCUUCUCCUCCAGUUUCUCCUCCAGUGCUCUCAACAUCAGUCUCUCCUCCACAAACUCUCUCCGUCCCCCCAGUGCUUGUGAUUGUUCUGGUAGUUGUGCUCUUACUGCUCUUAGUGCCACUGCUUAUACUGAUUCAGCAGAACAGAGUGAUGAGGAGAGCUCUCUCUGACUGGUACACAGGACUACACAGGACUCAUUCUCAGACUGAGCCAGUAUAUGAGGAAAUUUAUCACAG
Carassius auratus (goldfish) is the source of this 373-nucleotide long non-coding RNA. RefSeq lists it as uncharacterized. NCBI's taxonomy places the organism in Eukaryota, Metazoa, Chordata, Actinopteri, Cypriniformes, Cyprinidae. The record is from RefSeq and is a predicted model, not a curated record. The transcript has 3 exons.